AUGGGGCUUGGCAAGACAAUGCAGGUUUCUGCCUUCUUGGCAGGAUUGUUCCAUUCUGGUCUAAUACAGAGGGUGCUAGUCAUCGCCCCGAAGACACUUCUCACUCACUGGAUCGAGGAGCUUACAGUAGUCGGUCUCAGGCACAUGAUCAACGACUACUCUGGUUCCGACCUAUAUAUUCGUGACUUUGAGCUUCAACAUGCCUUCCAGGAAGGGGGUAUCCUGUUGACAACGUAUGAUAUUGCCCGGAUCAACUAUAGGCUGAUAAGAGGAGACUUCUAUAAUGAUGCUGACGAGGAGGAGGGGGGGAAGAUUUGGAAUUAUGUUGUUCUUGACGAGGCACACUUUAUCAAGAACCCCAAGACACAAAGAGCCCAAAGCCUAUUUGAAAUACCUUGUGUCCAUCGGAUCGCCAUCAGUGGAACGCCUAUACAAAAUAACUUGAAGUUUCAGAACAGUAAAUUAAGGGAACGUAUAAAGCCAUAUUUCUUGCGACGUAUGAAAAAUGAAGUGUCACUUGAGACUGGUUCGACAGAUGAUAAACAGCUUCCGAAGAAGAAUGAGCUAAUUAUCUGGCUGAAAUUAACAGAUUGCCAGAGGAAACUAUAUAAAGCAUUUCUGAACUGUGAGCUAGUUCAUUUAGCAUCGCAAGGAAAUCCCUUGGCUGCUCUCACGGUAUUGAAGAAAAUAUGUGAUCACCCACAGAUAUUGACCAAGAGAGCUGCUGAGGACAUCCUGGAAGGCAUGGAUGGAAUGUCAAAUAAUCAGGAUAUGUUGAUGGCUGAAAAUAUGGCCAUGAACCUCGCUGAUAUGGCUCAUGCUGAUGAAGCACUGCAAGCCGGUCAAGAAGUCUCCUGCAAGUUAUCUUUUAUCAUGUCCUUGUUGAGGAAUCUUCUUGAAGAGGGACACCAUAUUCUUAUUUUUUCAAACACUCGAAAAAUGCUAAACCUGAUUUAGGUAUGUUGCCAAUUGUUCUUUGUGCUGGAGUGCAUGCCGUGUUUUUGUGAUAUAGUAUUCAAAUUAGAGUUAUUAUUUUGUAUGCAUUGUUGUAUUUAUGGUUUUCACAUAGUACAUGAUAAACUCUGUGAGUGGAGUAAAUGGGUGAUUUCUUCUUACAUAAUACUCCCUCCGUCCCAAAAUAACUGUCUUAACCUUAGUAAAAUUUUGUACUAG
Molecule: ribosomal RNA, 1173 nt
Filed under: Triticum aestivum (bread wheat)
Lineage: Eukaryota; Viridiplantae; Streptophyta; Magnoliopsida; Poales; Poaceae
Description: partial small subunit ribosomal RNA
Source: RNAcentral